This 465-nucleotide ribosomal RNA is filed under the name Vreelandella stevensii. Its description in RNAcentral is "partial 16S ribosomal RNA". It matches the Rfam family "Bacterial small subunit ribosomal RNA", at positions 338 to 795 of the family's 1533-position model. Lineage: Bacteria; Pseudomonadati; Pseudomonadota; Gammaproteobacteria; Oceanospirillales; Halomonadaceae. The record is from RNAcentral.
CCUACGGGGGGCUGCAGUGGGGAAUAUUGGACAAUGGGGGCAACCCUGAUCCAGCCAUGCCGCGUGUGUGAAGAAGGCCCUCGGGUUGUAAAGCACUUUCAGUGAGGAAGAACGCCUGGUGGUUAAUACCCAUCAGGAAAGACAUCACUCACAGAAGAAGCACCGGCUAACUCCGUGCCAGCAGCCGCGGUAAUACGGAGGGUGCGAGCGUUAAUCGGAAUUACUGGGCGUAAAGCGCGCGUAGGUGGCUUGAUAAGCCGGUUGUGAAAGCCCCGGGCUCAACCUGGGAACGGCAUCCGGAACUGUCAAGCUAGAGUGCAGGAGAGGAGGGUAGAAUUCCCGGUGUAGCGGUGAAAUGCGUAGAGAUCGGGCGGAAUACCAGUGGCGAAGGCGGCCUUCUGGCCUGACACUGACACUGAGGUGCGAAAGCGUGGGUAGCAAACAGGAUUAGAUACCCCGGUAGUC